Molecule: ribosomal RNA, 365 nt
Filed under: uncultured organism
Description: bacterial LSU rRNA
Rfam family: Bacterial large subunit ribosomal RNA
Source: RNAcentral
CUUUACUGCAACUUGACGUUGGAACUUGGCUGUAUUUGUGUAGGAUAGGUGGGAGACUUUGAAGCAGGGCCGCAGGUCUUGCGGAGUCGUCGUUGAAAUACCACCCUGGUGCUGACGAGUUUCUAACCGUGUCCGUAAGCCGGACAUGAGACAGCGUCUGGUGGGCAGUUUGACUGGGGCGGUCGCCUCCUAAAAGGUAACGGAGGCAUUCAAAGGUCCCCUCAGCGUGGUCGGUAAUCACGCGCAGAGUGCAAACGCAUAAGGGGGCUUAACUGCGAGACCGACAGGUCGAGCAGGUACGAAAGUAGGAGUUAGUGAUCCCGCGGUUUAGCGUGGAAUUGCCGUUGCUCAAUGGAUAAAAGGUA